GACGGAGGGUGCGAGCGUUAUUCGGAAUCAUUGGGCGUAAAGAGCGUGUAGGCGGCCGGUUAAGUCAGGUGUGAAAGCCCGGGGCUCAACCUCGGAAGUGCACUUGAAACUGGUCGGCUUGAGUUCGGGAGAGGGUAGCGGAAUUCCUGGUGUAGAGGUGAAAUUCGUAGAUAUCAGGAGGAACACCGGUGGCGAAGGCGGCUACCUGGACCGAAACUGACGCUGAGACGCGAAAGCGUGGGGAGCAAACAGG
RNAcentral lists this ribosomal RNA (253 nucleotides) under uncultured bacterium. RNAcentral's name for it is "partial 16S ribosomal RNA". It matches the Rfam family "Bacterial small subunit ribosomal RNA", at positions 524 to 776 of the family's 1533-position model. The record is from RNAcentral.